AAAAGGUGCUUUUCUGCAGUCUUGUAAAUCUUGAUGUAAGUAUUUUAUAUUUUUCACACAGAAUCAUUUUAGAAUCAGAAAUAAUUUUAUAGUUCACCAAGGACAUAUAUUUUGGCUACUGCUGAAUGAGAAUAACUUAAAUUUCUGAAUGGAAUGUUGAUUUUUGUGUGUUGUUUAUGCCAGACAAUACAUGGAACAUCAUAUAAGGAGGUUAUGUCUGCCUCAAUCAUCUGGCUGUGACACUUCUAGUGAAAUAACCUAAAUUAAAUGUUGCACUGAGAAAUGACAUUAAAACAUAAGGCAAAAAUGAUAUUCUUGAGCCACUUUGGUAAGGCUGAUAUAUACAUUCAUGAAAUAUAAUGAGCUAAAUGCUAUAUGUGCUACAUAUUUGUCAUAGUUUCAACCGUAUCAGAGAAAUUUUAUCAUAUUUACCUAGGUACAUAUAUUGUAGUUGGUAAAUUUGAUUAUGUUGGUAGGUCAUGAAAACAAAAGAGAAACAAAAUAUUCUAGAGUUAUUUGCUGUUAUUUUUCGUAAUUUACUUUUGUGGAAAUUUAGUGGAACCAAGGCUGUCAUGAAUAAAUUAUAAACUUAUAAUCCGUAGGCAUCAUUAUCACACAAAUAUAUUUAGUAUUUAUUGUAAUAAUUGAAUGUCCUGAGCAGUAAGGACUUCAAAGGUGAAAUGGGGAAUCCUCCUGCAGGGUGAAGGCUCAGAUUAUAGUCUAUGCCCAUACUCGUAGCACUGUCCACACGCCCUACCAAGCGUUGAGCCCCACCUCGGAUUGGAGUCAGCAUGUUGACACCGUCAUCAGCAAUCAUCUUGAUGGAAGGUUGGUCUGUGACACCACUGCCAUCACAGCUUGUUGAGUCCGGAGGCAAGCGGAUCAGUAUCGUGUACACCUAGGGGGUAGAACUUCUAACCAGUAGAACGUCGUCCUGUUGGAAUGCAGACUAUGGAGCCGAUAGUUGACCUUGCAGGGCUGUAGCAGAGCCGGAUACCGGCUACCGCCUUGGCACCUCUUUAAAGACGGCGAUGAUAACCAUAGGUUGGCGGCGUAGCCGAGGACAAAGGGGUGCGAACUAUACCACACAAGUAAUACACAUUUGGGGUGCAUACCUCUAGAAACCUUAUAACAUUCGCCAUAUGAUUAAUAUAAUAGUCAGCCAGAACUUUUCGCUUGUUUACUAUCCAAUCUCUGUGCUUGAGGCGGAAGUGUGUGCAUUCUGUGAGCAGUUUAUAAUAUUCAAUUUUGCAUUAAAAGUAAAGCUAUCAAGAAUUACCUCAUAUCUUAAGUGAUUCUCAUUUCUUUAAACCUGGAACUUCGUGCCAUAUCACACCGGCACUUUUAUUAUUUCGGCUACAGCUGGGCGUGCGUUCGUGCGUGAGCGCGAAUAGAAUGGAAAUCAAGAACUUGUUUAUCAGCAUGUAAUACAGUGUAAUUUUAUGAUAUUUCUCCUUAAAAUUGAGAAAUAUUUUUUGUUGGUAGAACAAUUCCUCAAACACAACCUAAUUUUAAAGAUGAAUUUCAAUAAUACGAGGUGCGUCCACAAAGUAAGUUUCCCACUCGU
Zootermopsis nevadensis is the source of this 1567-nucleotide non-coding RNA. Lineage: Eukaryota; Metazoa; Arthropoda; Insecta; Blattodea; Termopsidae. The record is from RefSeq and is a predicted model, not a curated record.